Long non-coding RNA from Pongo pygmaeus (Bornean orangutan), 1317 nucleotides. RefSeq lists it as uncharacterized. The record is from RefSeq and is a predicted model, not a curated record. The transcript is spliced from 2 exons. Lineage: Eukaryota; Metazoa; Chordata; Mammalia; Primates; Hominidae.
UGCAUGCAGGAAUGAGACAUCCCUGCCAGAAGCGGUACGCUUCACGCCAGCUCACAGCCUGUUGGCCAGAACACGCCACUUGGCCCACCUAAUUGUGAGGGCGGCCGGGGCUCCCGGAGGGAGAAGUGUUGGGUGUGAGAGAGCACACUCAUCUCCCCAUCCAUCCCCCUGAGAUGCUGGCCUCCCGUCCACCAACCUCCUAGUCCUCUCCCCGGGGAAGCCUGCUCUGCGCCAUCCCUCCCCACGCUGGCUCGUCUCUCUCUGAGUCAUGCUGACUCUAACCGGCCUUUCACCGUUUGUCUCUACUGUUCAUCUUUGGGUGGAGUGCGGCUCACUGUGAAGCUUCUCUGCACUCGCUGGAUGAAUGAGGGAAUGAACAGGGAGAUUUAGGUUCUUGGUAGCUGGAACCUCCUGUUUUUAGAUCCUGCCUUGUUUCUCCCAUGCAGCCCUUCAGUGUGGGUUUUCGUAGCGGCCUGGAUGUCUUCUCUAGGGAGGACCCACCGAUUGCCAUGACUCGAGGCCCCUGGAGACCAAAGACCGGGCGUGGAGCAAGAAAAACAGAUGAUGGACAUCUGCACCUCGGCCCCAGCCCCGCCACUGACAGCGUGUGGCUGUGGAGGCCUCCGUUGGCCCUGUCUGUGAGGGAAGAGCCUGCUGCAAGGCCUCCUGAGCCCCUCCGGUCCCUGCCAUGCCAUGGGUCUGCCUGGAAAACAGUCCUUUGUAAAGCCUGGUCUCCCGCUGCUGCCCCCAGCCCGACCUGCCCUGCCUUUGAGAUGUCCUGUGGUCUAACAAUGAGAUCUUCUGAAAAGCCGUGUCCGUAAUGGAGCCUGAGCUCAAGGGAUGAUCUGGUCCACAGAGCUCGCCGUGAGAUUCUCCCCGCUCUCUGAGCCCGCUCGGGGCGUCCACGGCUUCCAGGCACCAUUUUCCUCUUUUAUUGUCAGGGUUGGGCUAAUGAGCAGCCUACUUAGCCCAUCUCGGCCCAGAUGUGGCCUUCAGGGCUCCCUGAGAAGGGGCCGGGCCUCCUGAAUAACUCACAGCGACCCGGGGCACCGAGUCUGUUCCUGAGGCUGAGCAAGGCCUUGGAGCUGCUGAAGGGGCAUUAAUCCUCAUUUUAUGUGGGGAAAACAGUGAGAAGAAAAGGCAUGCUUGCAAUUUAAUGUAACUAAAUGUCAUUCCGCACCCCCUGUAUCGCCGCUCAAUUGAAAGCACCGGGGAUGGGGCUGAGGGGUAAGAUGGCAGUUGCGUAACCUGAUUCAUAACCCUCAGCGCCUGUUUAUCAUAAAAUCAUUUACGGCUCCAUAAAAUGUGUUAAUUUGG